UUCACAUGAGAUGUGUUUAACUCUGCUGGAGGGCUGAGUUGCCGAUGAGCUUCAGUGGAGGAAAUGCAGGAAUGGACUGGAAAAAUGGAGUUAAUUUUAUAUUAUAGAAGUGUUGCACAGUGCUCGAUGGAAUUUAUAGUUGCAGCUCAGCUCUACUCAAAGGUACUUAUCCUCAAAGAGAAAAAUACCUGGUAAGACUCCAAGUGUAAAACAAACAAGAAUCAUCCAGUCAGAUCUUCUCAGGUGGACCCUUGCUCUCAUGUGGGUCCCAUUGAAAUCACUGAAAUCAGUAGAACUUAUGUAUGAGCUUGCUGCAGAACCAGGAUAGCUAAUGCAUCCAGUGAAAAACAUAUGAAUGGAUUUUGUGACAUUUUCUUUCAUCUUAAAAAUCUCAGGCUGGUUAACAGUCAACCUGAGUUAAUCGUGCAAAUGAAGGCUACGACCAUUCACAUCAUAUGAAUUUUUACUUGUGUUAAUUAUAGCCAACAAAACACUGAGUCAAUCAAUUAAGACCAGCAUGAGCAUCUAUUUGAAGAUAAGUUUUGCCUCCCAGACAGAAGGAUUUGAUUUGGCAUUUAAAAGUAAUGCAUCUAUACUUGGGGAGCUGUCACAGGUUCUUUCUCUCUCUCUCUCUCUUUAUUUUGCAGAUUCACUGCAAGUUCCACAUCUUGUUUCAGAUUGUCAAAAAGUCAGAAUGUGUCCCUGCUAACAGUCAUUAAUUGCAAAACUCUCUGGCUACUUUAUAUUUUUUAACAAACCAGACAUGUUAGUAAAUAAGAUUGUCACUUGUGAAGAUGGAGUUUCCUUUUAGUAGCAGUAGUACUGAUUAUUUUUAAUGGUUGAUAUGUUAAAAUGGCUGCUUAAAAGUGUUAAUGGCUUUGUUUUUAUGAAUGACAAUUGGGCUAAGGAUAUUGUUUGUUCUGGUUGAGUUUGUGUUGUGUGUGCAUUAGAAAAAUCCUUGACUCUGGUGUUAUUGCCCAAGGCUCAAACAUUUAUUGCUAGACUAACAAAAGAAAGCAAGAUAUUUUAGUGAGGGUUCUAUUAUUUUCCAACCUGGUCUAAAAAGAUAAAAAUGGGACUUACAAAGAUGGAGGAAAUGUAACCAAAGUGCAGCACACAAUUAUUUUACCCUACCUACAUUUUUUCUGUAGCUGUUCAUGUGCAAAUAGCAUUAAAAGGAGAACUUGACUUGAUCUUGAUCCAGGUCUCUGCUUCAGUACUUCUUG
Non-coding RNA from Pelodiscus sinensis (Chinese soft-shelled turtle), 1226 nucleotides. Lineage: Eukaryota; Metazoa; Chordata; Testudines; Trionychidae. The record is from RefSeq and is a predicted model, not a curated record.